Clupea harengus (Atlantic herring) is the source of this 3133-nucleotide RNA transcript. It is a transcript of the gene named MAF bZIP transcription factor Gb, with no coding region annotated. NCBI's taxonomy places the organism in Eukaryota, Metazoa, Chordata, Actinopteri, Clupeiformes, Clupeidae. The record is from RefSeq and is a predicted model, not a curated record.
CGCGUGCGCACUGGACUGUCUUCCCCUCUCCACCCCCGCUGUACGUACACAUGCUCUCACACGCGUGCGCACUGGACGGUCUUGUCACCUGGCUGCAUCCUGAGAUACGAGGCAUUUUAAGGACACAACACUGUUUGAUUUGAGGUAAGUAACGUUAACUUUAUAGUAUCCACUGCAGUUAUCCACUAGUCCAAACACUAUCGUAAGACGGCAAUCAGAUAAUGUCAAUGCAGAACUAUCAUUGAUAAUAAACAUGAAUCUAACUUCUGCUUAGUUUGGGAACGUUAACAUCAGUUUGUCCGAUUCUUGUCUCAUCCCUUUAAAACGGUGAACUGUUGAAUUCGCAGAGUUUUAGCAUGAUUUUGAUUCAGAAACGUUGACCUCAAUGCUGCUAACACAUUUGUUAGCAUGUUUUCAUCCUUUAAAAUACGAUUGCAUGCUCUAACCAGAGCCGCUGUGAUAUUUCAGUGAGUUAUUAAGGUCUUUGCCGUGGCCAACGGCGGCAAACAUAGAUCCCAUCAUGCACAGACCUUAAUAAAGAGUCGCACCUCAGAACUCACUGAAAUAUCACAGUGGCUCUGUUUAGAGCAUGCAACAUAACUGUUUUCAGUUUCUUAGGAGCAAGUUGGCUCUUCAUGUUUUAUUUUCAUUCGUUUUUCUAAUUGUAGUUGCCUUCAUUCUCAGGUCAAACCAGCCCUUCGUCACAGGCUCUAAGGAGAACAGCGGGCAGCCUGCCUGAUGCUCUCUAUCAGUGGGCCGAGCCCAGAGGACUUGAACUACAAAAGAGAAUUAGAACUGUUUUUCUUAAAGCCAGGAAAAAAACGCCCAAAAUCAGGGUGCAAAGUUUAACAAAUAAGGAGUUUGGUGCUUUGGAAGCUUGGUGGUCAUAUACUUUCAACUCAUGUGAAUUCUUCCCCCACAAGAAUGUAUCAUAUUUACAUUAAGUAAACUGGUGCCAAAGCCUUCACACAUUGAAAUACUCUGCAAGAAGACCUAAGAAUAGCUGAAACCGUGGACGACUUUAAACGUGAACUUAAGAAAUAAGACCCCCCAAUUUCCUUCUGUGAAGUGCAUUGUGUUACCUCCUGGUAUGAAAUGCGCCAUAUAAAUAAAAUUUGAUUUGAUUUGAUUGAGGUGCCAAGUUUAUUAACAUUCAAAUAGUCACCCAGUCCUUCCUGACGGCAGACCUUCACACCUUUCAUACUUCGACCCCAUUCUGUUCCUCUUCAUAAUAUGUCCCACCUUACACCCUGAACCAGACCCCCAGACACACUCAAUAUGUUAAGUUGUGUAUUCUACCUUCUGACUGAACUGAAUGAGACUUGUAUACUAUAGAGAAGAUUGAGAGGUGUGGAGACACCGACCACUAUGUGUGGUGAGAGGACGGAGUAAGCACCGACCACUAUGUGUGGUGAGAGGACGGAGUAAGCACCGACCACUAUGUGUGGUGAGAGGACGGAGUAAGCACCGACCACUAUGUGUGGUGAGAGGACGGAGUAAGCAGUGAUGCUGGGAGAUUGACGGAACAUCGCUGCCCUAAGGGAUGCAAGAUCUGUUGCAUAGAAUACUCAGAAUAAACUGACACCCUACCCAUCAGACUGGCAUUCCAUCGAUUCCUUUGAUAAAUCCUGCAACCGCAACUAACUUCAGAGCCCGAAUGGAGUUCUGUUGUGAUACAGUACAACAGAUGGUGUUUUCAUCUGAAAUUCGACGAUCUUUCAGUUGGUGUUGAUCCACCCAGUACCACGAUAAAGUGAAAAGAAGAAGAAGCUACCCAGAGAGGAGUACGCCUCAUUUUAAACGAGCCAACAGUCGAUCACCAUAACCCCCUGGAGCAGCGAGAGAGGAUUCACAUGCAAGGAGCUCACGGAGCCUCUACUGCGACUACCAAGCCAUCACUGUUGUCCUUGAUCCACCCCUCCUGCUGGACAGCAGUGACAUCCCUACAUCAACUGGACUCUCAUAUUUCCACCACACAACAUUCCAGGACUUGCAUACCCCCAUAAGAAUGACCUGAGCUACGUCUGAACAGAUGAUUAUAAAUGCAAAGCUGCACACUCAAAGCUUGCGGAAGGCAAGUGUCGCUGCACGACCGUAUGACGGUAAAGGAAUUUCGAGACUAUUUCGCCUUUACCUCUGAGCUCAGGAACUUGGCAUCUUAGUUGUAAAGAACAGCAGACUUGAAGAAUAUUGGUCUUUUUCAUAUACUUUCAGCUUGUGUCAAUCCUUCCCCCACAAGAAUGCAUCAUAUUUACAUCAGUAAAUUGGCGCCAAAGCCUUCGCACAUUGAGGCGCCACUUUCAUUAACAUCCAAAUGAAGAUCAGCCAGACCUUCACACCUUUCAUACCUAGGUAGGACCCCAUACUGUUCUCCUUCAUAAUAUGCCCCACCUUGAACCAGAUCCCCAGACACACCCAUUAUGUUAUGUUAUGUUAUGACUGAACUGAAUGAGACUUGUAUGCUAUAGAGAAGAUUGAGAGGAUUUUGCUGUGGGAUUGCCGUCUGGAGACACCAACCACUAUGUGUGGUGAUGGAACGGAGCAAGGAGUGAUGCUGGGAGAUUGAGGAAACAUCACUGCCUUUGGAAGACAAAGGGAUGCAAGGCCAACACAGAAGAGACUUGCACUACACUAUGAACGAUAUCUCCUAAUCAUCCCUCCUUCUUGUUGUGUGCGCUUUAGAUCUGUUGCAUGGAAUACACGGAAUAAACCCAUCAGACUCGCAUUCCUUCGAGUCUUACAAAUCCUGCAACCGCAACUAACUUAAGAGCUAAAAUAGUAGUUUAAAUGUAGAUUAACAGAUGUUGUUUUCACCUGAAAUCUGUCAUAAAACACAACGAGUUGAGUAUACCAUAUCAUCUAUCUAUAAUCAUUUUGUAGUAUUGUGUUUUGCGCAUUGUGUUGCCUCUUGGUAUGAAAUGCGCUAUGUAAAUACAGUUUGAUUUGAUAGUAUUAAUCUGCAAACAUGGACUGUUAUGGAUCUGUACUAUUCAUUGAAAUGAGAGAUUCUAUACGUUCUAUAGUUUGGCUAGGUCUAUUUUUGGGGGGCAAUUUUUUUGACUAAUAUUAAAUUAUUCUGUAUAUUCUCUUCAGUAUUUUGAACUUCCCAAAAUAAACCAGUUGAUGAACACUG